RNAcentral lists this ribosomal RNA (491 nucleotides) under uncultured bacterium. Its description in RNAcentral is "bacterial SSU rRNA". It matches the Rfam family "Bacterial small subunit ribosomal RNA", at positions 30 to 521 of the family's 1533-position model. The record is from RNAcentral.
AUUGAACGCUGGCGGCAUGCCUUACACAUGCAAGUCGAACGGUAACGGGCCUUCGGGUGCCGACGAGUGGCGAACGGGUGAGUAAUGUAUCGGAACGUACCUUUCAGUGGGGGAUAACGUAGCGAAAGUUACGCUAAUACCGCAUAUUCUGUGAGCAGGAAAGCAGGGGAUCGCAAGACCUUGCGCUGAUUGAGCGGCCGAUAUCAGAUUAGCUAGUUGGUGAGGUAAAGGCUCACCAAGGCGACGAUCUGUAGCGGGUCUGAGAGGAUGAUCCGCCACACUGGAACUGAGACACGGUCCAGACUCCUACGGGAGGCAGCAGUGGGGAAUUUUGGACAAUGGGGGCAACCCUGAUCCAGCCAUGCCGCGUGAGUGAAGAAGGCCUCGGUUGUAAGCUCUUCGUCCGGGAGAAUACGUAUGGGUUAAUACCCUGUGCGGAUGACGGUACCGGCAUAAGAAGCACCGGCUAACUACGUGCCAGCAGCCGCGGU